This 337-nucleotide long non-coding RNA is filed under the name Capsella rubella. RNAcentral describes it as "long non-coding RNA (CRUB_LNC004969)". The record is from RNAcentral. Lineage: Eukaryota; Viridiplantae; Streptophyta; Magnoliopsida; Brassicales; Brassicaceae.
AGAGUUUAGUCACUGGACAAGACAAAGGUUCAUACAAAAAAUAACAAUUAUCUCACUAAUCAUACAAAAUUCAUAACUACAAAAAAAAGAAAAAAAAAACAUUUCUUAAUAAAGAGAGUGAAAAAAAAAACCACCAAAUUGUUCCAAGCGCUAAAUGCCUAAAAUAUACCAGUCCUGGGCAAUCGGGAACCAAUCGGGUUUUGGGUCAGGUAAUUUCGGUGGCGGGUGAAUCGGUAUAAAGCAUAUAGAUCCUAAUUGGUAUUUUACAAAAAUUCAGAUCGAUUCGGUUAGUAACUGGCCGGGUUCAGGUCGGUUUUCUUCUCCAAUACAAAAUCCG